RNAcentral lists this ribosomal RNA (773 nucleotides) under uncultured Neocallimastigales. Its description in RNAcentral is "partial large subunit ribosomal RNA". It matches the Rfam family "Eukaryotic large subunit ribosomal RNA", at positions 25 to 628 of the family's 3401-position model. The record is from RNAcentral. Lineage: Eukaryota; Fungi; Neocallimastigomycota; Neocallimastigomycetes; Neocallimastigales.
CGCAUCUGUGCAUGCAGCAUAUCAAUAAGCGAGGAAAAGAAACUAACAAGGAUUCCCCUAGUAACGGCGAGUGAAGCGGGAAGAGCUCAAAUUUGAAAUCUUAAAGGGUUUCCCUUUACGAAUUGUAGUUUAAAGAAGUGUUUUCUGUUGAGGUUUUGGUAAAAGUUCUUUGGAAUAGGACAUCAUAGAGGGUGAGAAUCCCGUAUUUGACCUUUACUUUCAACUUUGUGAUACACUUUCAAAGAGUCGGAUUGUUUGGGAAUGCAGUCCAAAAUGGGUGGUAAAUUUCAUCUAAAGCUAAAUAUUGGCGAGAGACCGAUAGCGAACAAGUACCGUGAGGGAAAGAUGAAAAGAACUUUGAAAAGAGAGUUAAACAGUACGUGAAAUUGUCAAAAGGGAAGCGUUUGACACCAGUGUUGUUUUUCUGAAAAUCAAUUAAAGAACUGUUUAUGCUAAGCUGUUUAGACUUUAUCAGCUAUCUGUUUAGUUUUGAGCUUUUCUUUAAUGCACUUUUCAGUUAACAAGUCAACAUCAAUUUCUUUUGCUGUAAAAAAGCUUGAGGAAGGUGGCUUGAGAUUCGUCUUAAGUGUUUAUAGCCUCUUGCCUAUGCAGUCGGAGAGAUUGAGGUCUGCAGCGUAGAUCCUUCGGGGCUAAAUGCAUUUGUGCUAAGUUAUAGCAUUUUAUAGACAACUUGUUGACUAUGAUUUGUCUUGUAGCUUACUCGCUUAUGUUAUUUUACCUACGCUUAGGAUGUUGAGUCGUAGAGCACGCAG